This 294-nucleotide unclassified non-coding RNA is filed under the name Hevea brasiliensis (rubber tree). The record is from RNAcentral. Lineage: Eukaryota; Viridiplantae; Streptophyta; Magnoliopsida; Malpighiales; Euphorbiaceae.
GCUGGAUGUUCUUCCUUCUUCUCUGUUACAUGGUGUUCUUCUGAGUCCUUAAAAACGGCUUCAACAUCAUCCAAGUUGGUGUCUCCUUUCUCCACAAAGACGGGGGGUUUAUAAUCUUUCUUAAACCAUUCAUCUUCCAAGAUUUCAGGUAUAGUGAUGCGAGUCAUAGGGUUAGGAUCCAAAAUUUUAGUUAUUAAUUUCAUGGCGCCAAAAGAAAGCCAAGGAGGGUAAGUGAACUCAGCCACUGAAAUUUUUUUAUACAGGUUCAUAAUAUUACCAUCAUCAAAAGGCAAG